AAUAUUGCAAAAUGGAGAAAACUCUGAUGCAGCGACGCCGCGUGAAUGGCGAAGGCCUUCGGGUCGUAAAAUUCUGUCCUUGGAGACGAUAAUGACGGUACCCAAGGAGGAAGCCCCGGCUAACUACGUGCCAGCAGCCGCGGUAAUACGUAGGGGGCGAGCGUUGUCCGGAAUUAUUGGGCGUAAAGGGUGCGUAGGCGGCCUUUUAAGUCAGAUGUGAAAGCCCACGGCUUAACCGUGGGACUGCAUUUGAAACUGGAGGGCUUGAGUAUCGGAGAGGGUAGUGGAAUUCCCAGUGUAGCGGUGGAAUGCGUAGAUAUUGGGAGGAACACCAGUGGCGAAGGCGACUACCUGGACGAAAACUGACGCUGAGGCACGAAAGCUAGGGGAGCAAACA
RNAcentral lists this ribosomal RNA (397 nucleotides) under uncultured bacterium. Its description in RNAcentral is "partial 16S ribosomal RNA". It matches the Rfam family "Bacterial small subunit ribosomal RNA", at positions 360 to 774 of the family's 1533-position model. The record is from RNAcentral.